Coregonus clupeaformis (lake whitefish) is the source of this 1135-nucleotide long non-coding RNA. RefSeq lists it as uncharacterized. The record is from RefSeq and is a predicted model, not a curated record. The transcript has 3 exons. NCBI's taxonomy places the organism in Eukaryota, Metazoa, Chordata, Actinopteri, Salmoniformes, Salmonidae.
CACAUGGAGGUGUAUCCAGUUGAUAUGAGACAUAUCAAAAUGUCUGUUUGUAGCCAGCUCUAUCAGCCAGAUAAUUUCUAAACGGAACUGAAGUCUUAACUGAUGGGGUUGCCAUGUUGUCGAAUGUUGAAAAGUGAUGCUAUUCCAUAGAUUUUCCCCUUCACUUUAAAGAGGAAGGCAUCCGAUCUGCCAACAUCAAAGCAGCAGAAAAUAAGUCAAGCUGAGGUAACAUAGCUAACUUUACAUAGCUAACUAGCAAGCUAGCAAACAAAAUUUGUUUAGCUAAACCAAGAUCUAGCUAGCUAGCUUUCAUAAUACGCUGGCUAGACAUUCCAAAGCAUAUCAAUGUAAUUAGCCAUCUGCUAUCUGGCGAUUUGAUUUGUAACUUUGCAAGCUAACGUUAGUUUCGUUAGGUUACAUUAGCUAACCGUUAGCAAGCUUGCUAACUAUCUACCGCAGAGGCUAACGUGACUUUUAUUUAGUGUCCAAUCCCAUCAACAUCUGCAGAGGCAUCAACAUCAAGAUCAGCACCAUUAACUAGUCCUGCUGCUGCUGCUGAUGAUGACCUUGACACCAGCUUUAGUAGUGCAGAGCCUGUAGACCCAUUGGAUGAAAGCUUUCAGCCUGGAAUAAGCUCAAGCUCAAUAUCAUCUGACUUUAAAACAAGCCAGGACUGCCAACGUCUUCAUGUCUUUCCAAGAGACUUGCAGUACAAACAAAUCUUCUGCAAGAGGUCCAAGCAGUGGGUGGUGAAGAAAGUGUACGAGAGGCUUGUCAACCUUGCCGUGGAGUGCAGAAAGGACCAGACGGUUGUCUACAAGGAGCCUGUAUCAUAGCUCCCCAAACUCAACAUCCCUGCCAACAUCGCCACAGUGCCAAAACCUGCUAAACCAGCUGCCAUUACCCAACAGAGGUUCACCAGCUGAAGAACAUUCUGGAACCUGCCUGGAACAUUCAACCAACACAACAUUCAUAUUCAGUUAGACUGAUGUUGUAGUAUAAUUAUGAAUGCCUAGUAUGCUCAGCACUGCAUUGUGGUAUAGAUAUUGCUAGCUGUACAUAUGUAUAUAAUUGUCUUUUAUAUAAUAUUUUUUACAAGUGUACUGACAAGUGACUAAAUGAUUCCAGCUGCAUC